AGGGCGGAGCCCGGAGCUCGGCCCCUGACGAGCCCGAACUCGUCAACUUCCUGUCGGUACUUGAAGAAGCGGAGCCAGGGCUGAGAUCCCGAAGGCGGGCGAGGUCUGGGAUGGGGCGGGGCCUAUGGGAGCGGGGCUGAAGCCCUGGGCCCGGCAGAGGAAGGUCGAGAUGGACCAUGUUGGGCCCCUUCUCUCCCCGCCCCCAGGCCGCAGUUCGGGGGCCACGCCCCGGCGUGCUCGGGUCACCGCGGGAAGCCCUUGAACCCCCUGGCGCCCGGCACCCACGUGCGGUAACCGCGGCUCCUCGAGAGCUCCAGGGAUGCGGAUCUACAGUAAGGGCUGUGGCCAGAUGAAUGAAUGCACAUUUUUUAGUGGGCAGAAAGAUGUUAGAAUUCAUGAAUUAGAAUAAGCACAAAGGAGGGCGAGAGGGGAGGCCGUGGAAGCCGCAUUCCUCCCCUUGCCUUGGGCGCCCACCCCCGAAGGGGCGCGUCCCCUCCCUGCUCCACUGCACGUGGGUGUUUAACCAGGGGAUAUCCAGUGCCUCAAGCACCACGACCCGGGAGAAAACUGAGUUGAGAAGGGUCCAUUCAAGAAUUGUGCCCACAAUAUACCAGGCACUUGUCCAGACCUGCAUCGUCCAAUGCCCACCUCGACCUCCCAAAGUGUUGGGAUUAGAGGCGUGAGCCACCGCGCCCUGCCUGCAUGUGGCUAUUGAGAUGUGCUGUAUGAUACACACCGGACUUUGAAGACUCAGUGUGAAAAAUAAAAAGAAUUUUAAGAGGGGUGGGGGUCGAGGGGAGGCAGAGCAGUAGGACAAAUAGCUAAUGCACGCAGGGCUUAAAACCUAGACAACAGGUUGAUGGGUGCAGCAAACCACCAUGACACAUGUUUAUCUAUAUAGCACCUACAUGUUCUGCACUUGUAUCCUGGAACUUAAAAUUAGAAAAAAAAAAUAAUAAAAGCCAACAUGGCAUUCAUUACUGCCAAAAAAAUUAAAACACA
RNAcentral lists this long non-coding RNA (1002 nucleotides) under Homo sapiens (human). The record is from RNAcentral. Lineage: Eukaryota; Metazoa; Chordata; Mammalia; Primates; Hominidae.